CUGAGCAAGUGUUGCAUCA
This 19-nucleotide non-coding RNA is filed under the name Arabidopsis thaliana (thale cress). The record is from RNAcentral. Lineage: Eukaryota; Viridiplantae; Streptophyta; Magnoliopsida; Brassicales; Brassicaceae.